GACAGAGGGUGCAACCGUUGUUCGGAAUUACUGGGCGUAAAGCGUGCGCAGGCGGUUUUGUAAGUCAGAUGGGAAAUCCCCGGGCUCAACCUGGGAAUGGCAUUUGGGACUGCAAGGCUUGAGUGCGGCAGAGGAGACUGGAAUUCCUGGUGUAGCAGUGAAAUGCGUAGAUAUCAGGAGGAAUACCGAUGGCGAAGGCAGGUCUCUGGGCUGACACUGACGCUCAUGCACGAAAGCGUGGGGAGCAAACAGG
Molecule: ribosomal RNA, 253 nt
Filed under: uncultured bacterium
Lineage: Bacteria
Description: partial 16S ribosomal RNA
Rfam family: Bacterial small subunit ribosomal RNA
Source: RNAcentral